RNAcentral lists this ribosomal RNA (421 nucleotides) under uncultured eukaryote. RNAcentral's name for it is "bacterial SSU rRNA". It matches the Rfam family "Eukaryotic small subunit ribosomal RNA", at positions 592 to 1018 of the family's 1831-position model. The record is from RNAcentral.
CAAUAGCGUAUAUUAAAGUUGUUGCGGUUAAAACGCUCGUAGUUGGUUUUCUGUCGGGGGUGACUGGUCGUCCCAAGUGGAUGGUACCUGUUCUGCUCCUGGCAUCUUCCAAGGGAACACGUUCGCACUUAAUUGUGUGGCGUGGAAGCUUGGACUUUUACUUUGAGGAAAUGAGAGUGCUUCAAGCGGGUAGUUGCCACGAAUACGUUAGCAUGGAAUAAUAGUAUUGGACCUCGGACCGAAGCUGUUGGUUGCUGGAACGAGGGGAGGAUAAACAGGGACAGUUGGGGGUAUUCGUAUUAACGCGUCAGAGGUGGAAUUCUUGGAUUGCGUUACGACGAACUACUGCGAAAGCAUUUGCCAAAGAUGUUUUCAUUGAUCAAGAACGAAAGUAUGGGGAUCGAAGAUGAUCAGAUACCAU